UGGCCCUACCACCCUGACUGUGCCCAAUCUUAUCUAAUCACAGAAGCUAGGCAGCAUUGGACUUGGUUAGAACUUGAGUGGGACACCACCUGGGAAGACAAAGAAGAUUUUCCAU
This 115-nucleotide ribosomal RNA is filed under the name Procavia capensis (Cape rock hyrax). The record is from RNAcentral. Lineage: Eukaryota; Metazoa; Chordata; Mammalia; Hyracoidea; Procaviidae.